Molecule: long non-coding RNA, 1542 nt
Organism: Astatotilapia calliptera (eastern happy)
Lineage: Eukaryota; Metazoa; Chordata; Actinopteri; Cichliformes; Cichlidae
Source: Ensembl
UAUUAAAGUGGAGCAGUACAGAGAUUAAAGCACACAAAAAAAGAGUGAUGGAACAAAAGGUCCCAAAAAGGGGAAAUGGCACAUGUGUUGAUGAUGACCUAACCACUUGUAACAUUUCCAAACAAAUCAGUCAAAUACUAUAUAAUAUUGUUGUAAAUAGCAUAUAACUGGAAAUAGAGCUUUCCUGUCUCUUUUAUAGGAGGGUAUCAUGUGAGCAAAUAGGAAAUGUGAGUCUUGGCUUAUUGUCUUGUGUAGCGACAUGUCAUAAAAUUGGCAGUAAAACCAAUAAUCUGUUUUAAAAUCUACUGAGAGUAGUCUUCCUCCCUCACACACUUUAAAUAAUCUCCCUGUCGUGUGUGAGUCAAGCUGCUGCGGGACACUUACGUGUCUCAGAACGUAACAUUAUGUAUGAUUAUCCUUGUGGCGUAACCUCUAAUUUUUUUUUUUUUUUUUUACAUUUUUAUCCAACUAAAUUGUUUUCCCUCUUGCAUGCAAGAGGUGAUGUGCUCUCUGAGUAGAUUACAUUCAGGUGAACAAAGUGCACAGCUCUCAUAUCAGAGAGAGAAAGAGACCAGGGUUCACUACUGCAGCCCUGCAUGUGUGACGGUGGUGAACUUUAAGCAGCAAAAGUAGGUUGGCUAAAGAAGGGAAACAAAGUGUUAUAGUUUUCCAUUUAAAAUCACACCUUGUUUUAUUUUAGAAUGACUCUUAAAGUGUUAUUGUGCGCUUUUAAAGUUUGAAGGUCUCUCAGAUCGGCGGAGCAAUCGCUCCUUGUUGUUCCCAUGUUGAGGCUCGUAUUAGGCCGAAGCAAGAGCUGAGGUUUUAUAAUCAGGUUUAGUCAUUUUUUAAAAUUUUUAAUUGCCUUUUCAUUUCUUUUUGCCUGUUUAAUUUCUGUUUUUCCACAUUUUAUUAUUUUUAUGUAGUAUGUCUUUAAUUUGUUAACACAUUUAAUGUAUUUUUUAUUUUAUUUUAUUGCUGUCUUUAAACUUACUUUUAAAGUGCUCUAUAAAUAAAGGGGAUUGGAUUGUUUAGCAACUGGCUAAUGCCUAAAUUGAAACUAUCAAACCACAUGCAUUCGAUCUGAAGUAGCACAGAUAUUGCAUAACCAAUAAAAAUAGCCUCCAUAAUUUAAUUGAGUACAAGUACAGCAUGAAACAGAUGAUGGUCAGCCUGAGACUUUACAGUGUGGAAUUGCAGACGUGGUUUGUGUCUUUUUUUAAUCUUUCUUAUUGUCUUUGUUAGUAAGACGCCUGUAAAACCGAUAAAGAUUGAGAUUUGUGCGGCACUUAAAUGAACUAUUUUGACAGCCACUCGGGGCGAUGCAGCAGUUACAGCCUUUCUAUGUGGACAUCUUCCUGUGCUUGUGUGAGUUUCCUCCAGUUACUCUGGCUUCCUCCCACAUUCCAAAGACAAACAUGCUCGGUUAACUGCUGGCUUUAAAUUGGCUGUAGGUGCUGAUGGGAGAGCGUGUAGUUGUCUGAGCCUUAAGAAAAUGGAUGGACGGUGGGAGAACUGCUCCUAUUAUCCACUCUGAUGGAAAAU